Molecule: ribosomal RNA, 535 nt
Filed under: uncultured bacterium
Lineage: Bacteria
Description: bacterial SSU rRNA
Rfam family: Bacterial small subunit ribosomal RNA
Source: RNAcentral
ACGGCGCACGGGUGCGUAACACCCUGGGCAACCUGCCCUUCAAUGGGGGAUACCCCCGCGAAAGCGGGACUAAUACCGCAUGAUAUUCCUGGGACUCCUGUUCCGGGACUCAAAGGCCGCAAGGCCGUUGAAGGAGGGGCCCGCGCCCGAUUAGCUUGUUGGCGAGGUAACGGCUCACCAAGGCAAUGAUCGGUAGCCGGUCUGAGAGGAUGGCCGGCCACACUGGAACUGAGACACGGUCCAGACUCCUACGGGAGGCAGCAGUGGGGAAUCUUGCGCAAUGGGCGAAAGCCUGACGCAGCGACGCCGCGUGGGGGAUGAAGCUUCUCGGAGUGUAAACCCCUUUCGACCCGGACGAAACGCCCGCAAGGGUUUGACGGUACGGGUAUAAGAAGCCCCGGCUAACUACGUGCCAGCAGCCGCGGUAAGACGUAGGGGGCCAGCGUUGCUCGGAAUUACUGGGCGUAAAGGGUUCGUAGGCGGUGUGGCAAGUCGGGAGUGAAAUCUCUGGGCUUAACUCAGAGGCUGCUUCCGA